RNAcentral lists this ribosomal RNA (253 nucleotides) under uncultured bacterium. RNAcentral's name for it is "partial 16S ribosomal RNA". It matches the Rfam family "Bacterial small subunit ribosomal RNA", at positions 524 to 776 of the family's 1533-position model. The record is from RNAcentral.
GACAGAGGUGCCGAGCGUUAGGCGGAAUCACUGGGCUUAAAGCGUGUGUAGGCGGCGGCGUAAGUACCUUGUGAAAUCCCACGGCUCAACCGUGGAACUGCUCGGUAUACUGCGUCGCUUGAGCCAGCUAGGGGCGACCGGAACAAACGGUGGAGCGGUGAAAUGCGUAGAUAUCGGAAGGAACACCAGUGGCGAAAGCGGCUUCCUGGUCCAGCACCGACGUUCAGGCACGAAAGCGUGGGGAGCAAACAGG